CCCGCCAUGUUUUAAAUAUCAAAUACUUCGAAAAGGAGCUCCAUGACCUUUCAAAUAUUUCUUUUUUAGCUUACUUUGAUUCUUAACCAAUGAAUCCAGCUAAUAUUGUUUCUUUUUUUUUUUUUAUUUCACCUUAGUACAUCAUUAAUUUAUAUUCGUGUUGCUUUAUUAUUUUUUUGUCACUUAUCGACGCUUUUUGUCGCUGCUUGUCCUUAAUUUGUGAGACUUGUGUUUAGCGGUCUCACUAAUUAGCGACAAGAAAAAUUUUAGCGACAAAAAGCGUCAAGAAGAGACAAGAAGAAUAAUUUUAGCGACAAGAAGCGACAAGAAACUAUUUAGCGACAAGAAAACAUUUUUUUUUAAUUAGAAUUACUUAAACCAAAUAAAUAUUAAAAG
This 396-nucleotide long non-coding RNA is filed under the name Mytilus galloprovincialis (Mediterranean mussel). The record is from RNAcentral. Lineage: Eukaryota; Metazoa; Mollusca; Bivalvia; Mytilida; Mytilidae.